This 500-nucleotide ribosomal RNA is filed under the name uncultured bacterium. RNAcentral's name for it is "partial 16S ribosomal RNA". It matches the Rfam family "Bacterial small subunit ribosomal RNA", at positions 30 to 523 of the family's 1533-position model. The record is from RNAcentral.
AUUGAACGCUGGCGGCAUGCCUUACACAUGCAAGUCGAACGGCAGCACGGGAGCAAUCCUAGUGGCGAGUGGCGAACGGGUGAGUAAAGUAUCGGAACGUGCCCAGUCGUGGGGGAUAACGUAGCGAAAGUUACGCUAAUACCGCAUACGAUCUAUGGAUGAAAGCGGGGGAUCGCAAGACCUCGCGCGAUUGGAGCGGCCGAUAUCAGAUUAGGUAGUUGGUGAGGUAAAGGCUCACCAAGCCGACGAUCUGUAGCUGGUCUGAGAGGACGACCAGCCACACUGGGACUGAGACACGGCCCAGACUCCUACGGGAGGCAGCAGUGGGGAAUUUUGGACAAUGGGCGAAAGCCUGAUCCAGCCAUGCCGCGUGCAGGAUGAAGGCCUUCGGGUUGUAAACUGCUUUUGUACGGAACGAAAAGGUUUGGCCUAAUAAGCUGAGCUCAUGACGGUACCGUAAGAAUAAGCACCGGCUAACUACGUGCCAGCCGCCGCAGUAA